This 281-nucleotide unclassified non-coding RNA is filed under the name uncultured fungus. RNAcentral's name for it is "partial contains small subunit ribosomal RNA, internal transcribed spacer 1, and 5.8S ribosomal RNA". The stretch from base 1 to 73 matches the Rfam family "Eukaryotic small subunit ribosomal RNA", at positions 1759 to 1831 of the family's 1831-position model. The record is from RNAcentral. Lineage: Eukaryota; Fungi.
UCAAACUUGGUCAUUUAGAGGAAGUAAAAGUCGUAACAAGGUCUCCGUUGGUGAACCAGCGGAGGGAUCAUUACAAGUCUAGCGACUCAACCCACUGUGAAACAACUCAAAAACACGCUGAGGCGGGCCGCUCGCUGGGGGAGCUGUGGCUGCUCACCGCGAAAGCGGUGGUGGUGGUCCGCCGAAGCACCAAACUCUACACUAAGAAAAAAAAAUCAACUGAAAAAAUUACAACCUACAACGAUGGAUCUCUUGGCUCUGGCAUCGAUGAAGAACGCAGC